AGAUUUUAUAAGAAAGUCGGAAUAGUGCUUUCGCGGGUCUAGUAACUGGUUAGCCAAUUUAUGUCCAACUGAUGCAAAAUGAUUAUUUAAUAUAUCUGGGAUAUGGGUUACGUUUCUUAUAAGUCUAUUACCAUUAUUAUGGUCUUUGAUAGCUUGAAUGCAGGAUGAUUUCUGAGUUUUACGAUUCAUAAUAGUAUUAAUUCCUUCCCAUGUUUUUUUCAUAUUCGUCAAAUGUUUGUUAAA
Non-coding RNA from Paramuricea clavata, 243 nucleotides. NCBI's taxonomy places the organism in Eukaryota, Metazoa, Cnidaria, Anthozoa, Malacalcyonacea, Plexauridae. The record is from the annotation of a GenBank genome assembly.